AAUUGGAGGGCAAGUCUGGUGCCAGCAGCCGCGGUAAUUCCAGCUCCAAUAGCGUAUAUUAAAGUUGUUGCAGUUAAAAAGCUCGUAGUUGAAUUUCGGGAUCAAUAUUUCGGUCAUGCCGUUGGUAUGCACUGUUAUCAUUGAUUUCUCACCUUCUAAAGAACUGUAAUGCCAUUAAUUUGGUGUUACAGGGAAUUAGAACUGUUACCUUGAAAAAAUUAGAGUGUUUAAAGCAGGCUCACGCUUGAAUACAUUAGCAUGGAAUAAUGAAAUAGGACAUCCGAUUCUAUUUUGUUGGUUUCUAGGAUCGAUGUAAUGAUUAAUAGGGAUAGUUGGGGGCAUUAGUAUUCAAUUGUCAGAGGUGAAAUUCUUGGAUUUAUUGAAGACUAACUACUGCGAAAGCAUUUGCCAAGGAUGUUUUCAUUAAUCAAGAACGAAAGUUAGGGGAUCGAAGACGAUCAGAUACCGUCGUAGUCUUAACCAUAAACUAUGCCGACUAGGGAUCGGAUGAUGUUAAUUUUUUAAUGACUCAUUCGGCGCCUUACGGGAAACCAAAGUGU
Molecule: ribosomal RNA, 560 nt
Filed under: uncultured Glomus
Lineage: Eukaryota; Fungi; Glomeromycota; Glomeromycetes; Glomerales; Glomeraceae
Description: SSU rRNA
Rfam family: Eukaryotic small subunit ribosomal RNA
Source: RNAcentral